CUUUCAGACUGUAAGUUUCCGAAAGUUGGAUAUUGUGUUUUACCCUACAGAACAGAGCUCUGAUGGUAGAGUACAUGUCUUCAUCAGAGAUAGGAGCUUCCUGAGGACGGAGGCUGGAUUUCAGAUUGGAGCUGGGAAGUCGAUGUUUGUCCCUUUCAUCACAUCGGAUGUUCCUGAGGCAGAGUCUGUGUGCUUCCUGGACGGCAAGUCUGUCUCCUUUCCUUCGCAGGCCUAUGGAGGCCCCACCCCCAUUGGUGUGGUUUCCUGCCUACAGGGGGCGCUAGGGGCCCAGAGGACUGAUUUCCAAUGGAUGGGUCCUGUUUCUUGGUACUCAAGGCGCGGGUCCUCCGCGGUUUAGGCAUCUGAGGAUUUGGUGGGUAGGGACCCCAUCCUGUGAGGCUUUUGACCUAGACUUGGCCCCUGUCUGGCAGUCAAGGCCAGGCCUGCCUCGUCAGAAUCUGUGGCCAGCAUGUGGGAGAAUCUCCAAGUUUGGUUACCCACAGUUUAUUCCAGGAAGGGACAGUGUGGCCCUUGGUACAGAAUGGCCUUGCCCACCUCCUCUCUCCCCAUAACCAUGGCAGCCAAACCUCCGUCCUCCAUGAACCUCACAAACCCCACUGUCCAGCCUUUGUGUGCGUGUGCUGUUCUCCGUGGCUGAAGCACCCUCUCUUUCUGUCCUUGAGGACAGCUGAAGUCUCACCAGGUCUCCUGGAUACUCUGGCUUUCAGCAGGAUCCAACCUGGGCAAACCCACCUGGAGGUACCCCACAUGCCCAGACACCCUCUCUUCCUGCUGUGUGCACACCCUCUGACAUCCUCACAGACAGCAUGCUCACCACCGCAGCAAAACCAAAACCAGGACACCACAGAGGAGCCCAGGAGAGUGAAACGAGAGACCGGCCAAAACCCUCCCCGCCUCCUCCUACCCCACGGGCUGGAGGUCUUCCUGGGGAAGAUUGGGAAGGGUAUCUGGUGGGAAGGAACGGCUGUGGUCUGAGUUUGGAGGAGGGGGGCAGGGUGUGGAUUUCCAGAGAGAAUUAAAAAAUUCCAACAAAUGUAAACAAAUGUGUAUAAUCUUAGGCAGAU
RNAcentral lists this long non-coding RNA (1085 nucleotides) under Camelus dromedarius (Arabian camel). RNAcentral describes it as "lncRNA (ENSCDRG00005015382.1)". The record is from RNAcentral. Lineage: Eukaryota; Metazoa; Chordata; Mammalia; Artiodactyla; Camelidae.